CACCUACGGGAGGCAGCAGUGGGGAAUAUUGGACAAUGGGCGCAAGCCUGAUCCAGCAAUGCCGCGUGAGUGAUGAAGGCCUUAGGGUUGUAAAGCUCUUUCGCACGCGACGAUGAUGACGGUAGCGUGAGAAGAAGCCCCGGCUAACUUCGUGCCAGCAGCCGCGGUAAUACGAAGGGGGCUAGCGUUGUUCGGAAUGACUGGGCGUAAAGGGCGCGUAGGCGGUUGAUCAAGUUGGGGGUGAAAGCCCGGGGCUUAACCUCGGAAUUGCCUUCAAGACUGGUCAGCUAGAGUGUGGAAGAGGGUUGUGGAAUUCCCAGUGUAGAGGUGAAAUUCGUAGAUAUUGGGAAGAACACCAGUGGCGAAGGCGACAACCUGGUCCAUUACUGACGCUGAGGCGCGACAGCGUGGGGAGCAAACAGGAUUAGAUACCCUGGUAGUCCACGCCGUAAACGAUGAGUGCUGGAUGUUGGGCGGUUGCCGCUCAGUGUCGAAGUUAACGCGAUAA
Molecule: ribosomal RNA, 508 nt
Filed under: uncultured bacterium
Lineage: Bacteria
Description: bacterial SSU rRNA
Rfam family: Bacterial small subunit ribosomal RNA
Source: RNAcentral